This 492-nucleotide ribosomal RNA is filed under the name uncultured bacterium. RNAcentral's name for it is "partial 16S ribosomal RNA". It matches the Rfam family "Bacterial small subunit ribosomal RNA", at positions 29 to 507 of the family's 1533-position model. The record is from RNAcentral.
AGUGAACGCUGGCGGUAGGCCUAACACAUGCAAGUCGAACGGCAGCACAGUAAGAGCUUGCUCUUACGGGUGGCGAGUGGCGGACGGGUGAGGAAUACAUCGGAAUCUACUUUUUCGUGGGGGAUAACGUAGGGAAACUUACGCUAAUACCGCAUAUGACAUACGGGUGAAAGCAGGGGAUCUUCGGACCUUGCGCGAUUGAAUGAGCCGAUGUCGGAUUAGCUAGUUGGCGGGGUAAAGGCCCACCAAGGCGACGAUCCGUAGCUGGUCUGAGAGGAUGAUCAGCCACACUGGAACUUGGAAACGGUCCAGACUCCUACGGGAAGCAGCAGUGGGGAAUAUUGGACAAUGGGCGCAAGCCUGAUCCAGCCAUACCGCGUGGGUGAAGAAGGCCUUCGGGCUGUAAAGCCCUUUUGUUGGGAAAGAAAAGCAGCAGGUUAAUACCCCGCUGUUCUGACGGUACCCAAAGAAUAAGCACCGGCUAACUUCGUG